This 467-nucleotide ribosomal RNA is filed under the name uncultured bacterium. Its description in RNAcentral is "bacterial SSU rRNA". It matches the Rfam family "Bacterial small subunit ribosomal RNA", at positions 45 to 507 of the family's 1533-position model. The record is from RNAcentral.
UGCUUAACACAUGCAAGUCGAACGAAGAAGAGUUGAAUGAGAGCUUCGGCAGGAUUUCUUCUCAUCUAGUGGCGGACGGGUGAGUAACGUGUGGGCAACCUGCCCUAUACUAUGGAAUAAUCACUGGAAACGGUGACUAAUACCGCAUAAGACCACAGUACCGCAUGGUACAGGGGUAAAAGAGUUAUGUAUCGGAUUACGAUGACCUUGCGUCCUAUUAGCUAGUUGGUGAGGUAACGGCCCACCAAGGCGACGAUAGGUAGCCGACCUGAGAGGGUGAUCGGCCACAUUGGAACUGAGAUACGGACCAAACUCCUACGGGAGGCAGCAGUGGGGAAUAUUGGGCAAUGGGGGCAACCCUGACGCAGCAACGCCGCGUGAAGGAAGAAGGUCUUCGGAUUGUAAACUUUUGUCUUUAGGGAAGAAUAAUGACGGUACCUAAGGAGGAAGCUCCGGCUAACUACGUG